GGAUAUGAGGGUGAUCCCGGCUGUGACAUGUGUCACCCCAUUGAUUGCCAGGGCUGAUUCGGCUGAUCUGGCUGGCUAGGCGGGUGUCCCCUCCCUCCCUCACCGCUCCAUGUGCGCCCCACCCGAAGCUGCACGCUUGGUCGAAGAGGACGACCAUCCCCGCUAGAGGAAGACCGGUCUUCAGUCAAGGGUAUACGAGUAGCUGCGCUCCCCUGCUAGAACAUCCAAACAAGAAUUAGCACUAAAAAAUGAAAUUAUUUCAUCUGUUACCUUCCAGAUACCACUAAAUUGAAAGUAAAGUUAGCCACGAGCUUGAAAGAUCUGAAGAGAAAUCUGGGUUUGCGCAGUAUUUAAUUUC
Unclassified non-coding RNA from Ochotona princeps (American pika), 358 nucleotides. Its record names the gene 7SK. It matches the Rfam family "7SK RNA". From Rfam's summary of the family: 7SK was discovered as an abundant small nuclear RNA in the mid-70s but a possible function has only recently been suggested. Lineage: Eukaryota; Metazoa; Chordata; Mammalia; Lagomorpha; Ochotonidae. The record is from Ensembl.